Molecule: transfer RNA, 62 nt
Filed under: Acrochordus granulatus (little file snake)
Lineage: Eukaryota; Metazoa; Chordata; Lepidosauria; Squamata; Acrochordidae
Description: tRNA-Tyr
Rfam family: tRNA
About the family: Transfer RNA (tRNA) molecules are approximately 80 nucleotides in length. Their secondary structure includes four short double-helical elements and three loops (D, anti-codon, and T loops).
Source: RNAcentral
GGUAGUAUGGCUGAGUAAGCGGUAGGUUGUAAACCUACACACAAGGUUAAACUUUGCUAUCA